UACGGGGGGGCAAGCGUUGUUCGGAAUUACUGGGCGUAAAGGGAGUGUAGGCGGACUCUUAAGUCGGUGGUGAAAUCCUGGAGCUCAACUCCAGAACUGCCUUCGAUACUGAGAGUCUCGAGUCCGAGAGAGGUGAGUGGAACUGCGAGUGUAGAGGUGAAAUUCGUAGAUAUUCGCAAGAACACCAGUGGCGAAGGCGGCUCACUGGCUCGGUACCGACGCUGAGGUGCGAAAGCGUGGGGAGCAAACAGG
RNAcentral lists this ribosomal RNA (252 nucleotides) under uncultured bacterium. RNAcentral's name for it is "partial 16S ribosomal RNA". It matches the Rfam family "Bacterial small subunit ribosomal RNA", at positions 524 to 776 of the family's 1533-position model. The record is from RNAcentral.